Molecule: ribosomal RNA, 335 nt
Filed under: uncultured bacterium
Lineage: Bacteria
Description: bacterial SSU rRNA
Rfam family: Bacterial small subunit ribosomal RNA
Source: RNAcentral
GACGAACGCUGGCGGCGUGCUUAACACAUGCAAGUGGAGCGACGAACCGGGGCUUGCCCCGGGGCAGAGCCGCGAACGGGUGAGUAACACGUGGGUAACCCACCCCGAUGACCGGGACAACCCGACGGAAACUACGGGCGUAAUACCGGAUGUGCUCCUUGACCUCGAGGUCAAGGCGUAAAGAUAGCUUCGGCCUUCGCAUCGGGACGGGCCCGCGGCCCAUUAGCUUGUUGGUGGGGUAAAGGCCUACCAAGGCGACGANGGGUAGGCUGGUCUGAGAGGACGAUCAGCCACACUGGGACUGAGACACGGCCCAGACUCCUACGGGAGGCAGC